GUUAUAUGGUCAAGUGAAGAAGCGCAUACGGUGGAUGCCUUGGCAGUCAGAGGCGAUGAAAGACGUGGUAGCCUGCGAAAAGCUUCGGGGAGUCGGCAAACAGACUUUGAUCCGGAGAUCUCUGAAUGGGGGAACCCACCUAGGAUAACCUAGGAAAGGCGAAAAGAACCCCGGAGAGGGGAGUGAAAUAGAACCUGAAACCGUAUGCGUACAAGCAGUGGGAGCCUACUUGUUAGGUGACUGCGUACCUUUUGUAUAAUGGGUCAGCGACUUAUAUUCAGUGGCAAGCUUAACCGUAUAGGGUAGGCGUAGCGAAAGCGAGUCUUAAUAGGGCGUUUAGUCGCUGGGUAUAGACCCGAAACCGGGCGAUCUAUCCAUGAGCAGGUUGAAGGUUAGGUAACACUGACUGGAGGACCGAACCCACUCCCGUUGAAAAGGUAGGGGAUGACUUGUGGAUCGGAGUGAAAGGCUAAUCAAGCUCGGAGAUAGCUGGUUCUCCUCGAAAGCUAUUUAGGUAGCGCCUCAUGUAUCACUCUGGGGGGUAGAGCACUGUUUCGGCUAGGGGGUCAUCCCGACUUACCAAACCGAUGCAAACUCCGAAUACCCAGAAGUGCCGAGCAUGGGAGACACACGGCGGGUGCUAACGUCCGUCGUGAAAAGGGAAACAACCCAGACCGCCAGCUAAGGUCCCAAAGUUGUGGUUAAGUGGUAAACGAUGUGGGAAGGCUUAGACAGCUAGGAGGUUGGCUUAGAAGCAGCCAUCCUUUAAAGAAAGCGUAAUAGCUCACUAGUCGAGUCGGCCUGCGCGGAAGAUGUAACGGGGCUCAAACCACACACCGAAGCUGCGGGUGUCACGUAAGUGACGCGGUAGAGGAGCGUUCUGUAAGCCUGUGAAGGUGAGUUGAGAAGCUUGCUGGAGGUAUCAGAAGUGCGAAUGCUGACAUGAGUAACGACAAUGGGUGUGAAAAACACCCACGCCGAAAGACCAAGGGUUCCUGCGCAACGUUAAUCGACGCAGGGUUAGUCGGUUCCUAAGGCGAGGCUGAAAAGCGUAGUCGAUGGGAAACAGGUUAAUAUUCCUGUACUUCUGGUUACUGCGAUGGAGGGACGGAGAAGGCUAGGCCAGCUUGGCGUUGGUUGUCCAAGUUUAAGGUGGUAGGCUGAAAUCUUAGGUAAAUCCGGGGUUUCAAGGCCGAGAGCUGAUGACGAGUCGUCUUUUAGAUGACGAAGUGGUUGAUGCCAUGCUUCCAAGAAAAGCUUCUAAGCUUCAGGUAACCAGGAACCGUACCCCAAACCGACACAGGUGGUCGGGUAGAGAAUACCAAGGCGCUUGAGAGAACUCGGGUGAAGGAACUAGGCAAAAUGGCACCGUAACUUCGGGAGAAGGUGCGCCGGCUAGGGUGAAGGAUUUACUCCGUAAGCUCUGGCUGGUCGAAGAUACCAGGCCGCUGCGACUGUUUAUUAAAAACACAGCACUCUGCAAACACGAAAGUGGACGUAUAGGGUGUGACGCCUGCCCGGUGCCGGAAGGUUAAUUGAUGGGGUUAGCGCAAGCGAAGCUCUUGAUCGAAGCCCCGGUAAACGGCGGCCGUAACUAUAACGGUCCUAAGGUAGCGAAAUUCCUUGUCGGGUAAGUUCCGACCUGCACGAAUGGCGUAACGAUGGCGGCGCUGUCUCCACCCGAGACUCAGUGAAAUUGAAAUCGCUGUGAAGAUGCAGUGUAUCCGCGGCUAGACGGAAAGACCCCGUGAACCUUUACUGUAGCUUUGCACUGGACUUUGAGCCUGCUUGUGUAGGAUAGGUGGGAGGCUUUGAAGCGUGGACGCCAGUUCGCGUGGAGCCAUCCUUGAAAUACCACCCUGGCAUGCUUGAGGUUCUAACUCUGGUCCGUGAUCCGGAUCGAGGACAGUGUAUGGUGGGCAGUUUGACUGGGGCGGUCUCCUCCUAAAGAGUAACGGAGGAGUACGAAGGUGCGCUCAGACCGGUCGGAAAUCGGUCGCAGAGUAUAAAGGCAAAAGCGCGCUUGACUGCGAGACAGACACGUCGAGCAGGUACGAAAGUAGGUCUUAGUGAUCCGGUGGUUCUGUAUGGAAGGGCCAUCGCUCAACGGAUAAAAGGUACUCCGGGGAUAACAGGCUGAUACCGCCCAAGAGUUCAUAUCGACGGCGGUGUUUGGCACCUCGAUGUCGGCUCAUCACAUCCUGGGGCUGAAGCCGGUCCCAAGGGUAUGGCUGUUCGCCAUUUAAAGUGGUACGCGAGCUGGGUUUAGAACGUCGUGAGACAGUUCGGUCCCUAUCUGCCGUGGACGUUUGAGAUUUGAGAGGGGCUGCUCCUAGUACGAGAGGACCGGAGUGGACGAACCUCUGGUGUUCCGGUUGUCACGCCAGUGGCAUUGCCGGGUAGCUAUGUUCGGAAAAGAUAACCGCUGAAAGCAUCUAAGCGGGAAACUUGCCUCAAGAUGAGAUCUCACUGGGAACUUGAUUCCCCUGAAGGGCCGUCGAAGACUACGACGUUGAUAGGCUGGGUGUGUAAGCGUUGUGAGGCGUUGAGCUAACCAGUACUAAUUGCCCGUGAGGCUUGACCAUAUAACACCCAAACA
This 2599-nucleotide ribosomal RNA is filed under the name Pseudomonas aeruginosa. RNAcentral's name for it is "23S ribosomal RNA". It matches the Rfam family "Bacterial large subunit ribosomal RNA". Lineage: Bacteria; Pseudomonadati; Pseudomonadota; Gammaproteobacteria; Pseudomonadales; Pseudomonadaceae. The record is from RNAcentral.